This 253-nucleotide ribosomal RNA is filed under the name uncultured bacterium. Its description in RNAcentral is "partial 16S ribosomal RNA". It matches the Rfam family "Bacterial small subunit ribosomal RNA", at positions 524 to 776 of the family's 1533-position model. The record is from RNAcentral.
UACAGAGGUUGCAAGCGUUAAUCGGAUUUACUGGGCGUAAAGCGUGUGCAGGUGGCUGUACAAGUCGGUUGUGAAAUCCCUGGGCUCAACCCGGGAACUGCUUCCGAGACUGUACGGCUAGAGAUCGGUAGAGGGCGGUGGAAUUUCCGGUGUAGCGGUGAAAUGCGUAGAUAUCGGAAGGAACACCAAUGGCGAAGGCAGCCGCCUGGGCCUGAUCUGACACUGAGACACGAAAGCGUGGGGAUUAAACAGG